RNAcentral lists this unclassified non-coding RNA (378 nucleotides) under uncultured Parachlamydiaceae bacterium. Its description in RNAcentral is "contains 16S-23S intergenic spacer region". The record is from RNAcentral. Lineage: Bacteria; Pseudomonadati; Chlamydiota; Chlamydiia; Parachlamydiales; Parachlamydiaceae.
UCCCGGUUAACCCGGGCAGUCUCACUAGAGUUCCCACCUUAACGUGUUGGCAACUAGUAAUAAGGGUUGCGCUCGUUGCUGGACUUAACCAAACACCUCACGGCACGAGCUGACGACAGCCAUGCAGCACCUGUGCACAUGUCCCGAAGGAAAGAUCUAUUUCUAGAUCGGUCAUGUGCAUGUCAAACCUGGGUAAGGUUCUUCGCGUUGCAUCGAAUUAAACCACAUGCUCCACUGCUUGUGCGGGUCCCCGUCAAUUCUUUUGAGUUUCACCCUUGCGAGCGUACUCCCCAGGCGGUAUACUUAUCGCGUUAGCUUCGGCACAACUAGGGUUGAGUCCAGUUACACCAAGUAUACAUAGUUUAAGGCAAGGACUAC